Molecule: ribosomal RNA, 253 nt
Filed under: uncultured bacterium
Lineage: Bacteria
Description: partial 16S ribosomal RNA
Rfam family: Bacterial small subunit ribosomal RNA
Source: RNAcentral
UACGUAGGAGGCAAGCGUUGUCCGGAAUCAUUGGGCGUAAAGCGCGUGUAGGCGGUUCGAUAAGUCUGCUGUGAAAGUCCAGGGCUCAACCCUGGAAAGCCGGUGGAUACUGUCGGACUAGAGUGCGGAAGAGGCGAGUGGAAUUCCCGGUGUAGCGGUGAAAUGCGCAGAUAUCGGGAGGAACACCUGUGGCGAAAGCGGCGCACUGGACCACAUCUGACGUUGAGGCGCGAAAGCUAGGGGAGCAAACAGG